CAACGUAGGUAAUCUACCUUUGGGUGGGGAAUAACUCAGGGAAACUUGAGCUAAUACCGCAUAAUGCAGCGGCAUCAUAAGAUGACAGUUGUUAAAGGAGCAAUCCGCCUAAAGAGGAGCCUGCGGCAGAUUAGGUAGUUGGUAAGGUAAUGGCUUACCAAGCCUGCGAUCUGUAGCCGACCUGAGAGGGUGGUCGGUCACACUGACACUGAAUAACGGGUCAG
This 224-nucleotide ribosomal RNA is filed under the name uncultured bacterium. RNAcentral's name for it is "partial 16S ribosomal RNA". It matches the Rfam family "Bacterial small subunit ribosomal RNA", at positions 113 to 334 of the family's 1533-position model. The record is from RNAcentral.